Molecule: long non-coding RNA, 4055 nt
Filed under: Nothobranchius furzeri (turquoise killifish)
Lineage: Eukaryota; Metazoa; Chordata; Actinopteri; Cyprinodontiformes; Nothobranchiidae
Description: lncRNA (ENSNFUG00015015994.1)
Source: RNAcentral
AUGCAUGGCCUAUGUGAUAAGGAAAUAUUUUUGUAUGCGUCCUUUUUUUCCACAGAAAAUGCUCUGAUGAUGUUUGAAACUGAACCAGACCAGCAGUCAACUCUUAGGCAGACCAGCACACCCAGCCACAGCAGGGGAGAGAACAGAAGCAGCACUUCUCAACCAGAAACCAUAGAAACUAUGAGCAACAUUCUGGAUGCAGCAAUGCCAACACAGGUUCUUGGGAAUGAACUGCUGGUAGGCCAUGCCACCCUACCUUCCAGCGGCCACGCAAACUCUGCCUCAUCACACAGCCUGAUGCUUGAAGCUGCCUUCCACAUUGUGUUAUUACUUCUUCAUCUCCUCUCUGGACAAUAAAAGCUGCAGGGAUCUGGCUGAGGACCCUUGGAACAGAUAGGAGUACCAGCUCAGUCCCAAUGACAAUGAACCAUGUGUUAUUAUUCCUCCAUCUAAAUAUGUACAGUGAUUCUGCUUUUUUUAAACAUAUAUAUGAAUAUCUUAUUUUCUAAUUUGCAUCAAAACAACCCUCGUUAUUAUUCACAGUGUGGUGAGCCUUCAGACAAGUCUGUACUUUUGUACAUUGUGAACAAACCGAGCUGAAUUGGAAUCAAAGUACUUCUUUUAUGGACUGUAAGACAAUAUAACACAGAUAUGUGUGCUGCUGUAAAGUGCCAUGAUGUAUGUACCUGUAAAGAUCUGAACAUCUAUAGAAAAUUAUUGCAGAAAUCCUGUGAACCUUGUGUCUACUCUGUCCUAAGUAUCAGCAAGAACCUGGAACCGUUCUUUACAAAACCUUCUGAAAAAGGGACACCAUUUCUAAUCCGUACAGGAACAAUGGAGUAACAGAUACAACACGGACCUACAAAAUGGUCCGAUUUACUGAACAGAUGCCUUCACUGGAAGGACAUAAAAACAAUUAUCACUCACUCUGUCAAGACUGUAUAACUUUGCAGGAGAUUGCUCUGUGAUGAUACUUGGGCUUUAGUGAUAACACCACAGUUUUUAGAAGAUAAAAGUUCUUCAUUUUUAUCAGCAAAGACUCGUGAUUGGACCUGAGAAGCAGUAUGUCUACCUGUCGCUGCUGUGCUUUGUGUUAACGAGUGUAAUGCCUUUGAUUUCUUAUUGUGUUUGUGAACGUUUGCGAUGAGGUGCUCAGAGGUUUUUCAAGACGAAGGAGGUCUGGUCAAAAACAUUCAAUGAACUCUGAAAAGAACCAGAUCAGCAUUACAUAUAAAAGUCACAGAUCAAUACUUAUUUGUAUCAUUCAGUAUUUUAAAAUAAACAACAACUGCUUUUCUUUGAAAUAACUGAAGUGAGAUCUCUUAUUUUUUAGGACAGUGUAGCGCAAAUGAUGGGUUUUACCUAAGCUAGUUAAACAAGGAUUAUGAUGAGGUGAAUUAUUCAAAUGCAAAUAAAAACUGCAUUUACAGUGUUGUGUAGUUUUUGUUAUCAUGUCUGAUUAGUUUUUUUAAAAAGCUCACACUUUGCUCUACUUUAGCAACAGAUUACUUCAGGUUUAAUAAAAAAUAAAACAGAUUCCUAAACAUCCUGCAAAAUAUCAGCACUUUAAGCUUUUCAUGCUGGCGGAGGUUCUCAGUCAUGCAGGUCAUGGUAAUCCAAAAGGGUUCAGAUGAAGGCAACUGGACUUUUGUUUCUUGAGGAUUUUUCGUUUCUCAUCUGAGGAACUUUGUCAAUUCUGACUGGAAAACUGGAGAGUCAAGCUUAUAAACUGUAGCUGUCUAUUGUUAUUUAGACUAACAUCUUUCCCAUGUCCACCAGAUGAGUCUUUCCACAUGGGUAUUCAAGGAAUGAGAAGCAACUCAUUGCAGCAGUUGGGGUUAAAUAACUUGCUGACAGCUAACAAAUAAUCGCCCAUGUAGCAAUUAUCCAAUAGCAGUCCUGUACCUGUUAGCUUAGUUAAAUCCAGGUGGAGACUUUUUUUUAUUGGACCAGAGAAGUGAGUAAGACAACAUAAAAUCCAUUUUUUCCACUUGAAAAAGAUGUUAGAAAAAGAGACUGAACAGAAGAAGAUGGAUAUGUUGAGAGGUGUUUUGGGGAGAAAAACAAAUCUAGUAAAGCUAUUUUUGUAAUUUCUCCAGGUGACAGCAUCCACUCAGCUUAGAAAACAAUGAAAAGGCAUAAAACUCAUCACAUAUAAGCACAACGUGUAACAACUUGUUCAUAAAAAAAAGAGAUGUUUACCUACAGGAAUUAUAAUUCAUACCUCAGCAACUCCCAUUGCCUCUACGGGAUUUACAUAUGUUCAUUAUACUAAAGUGUAAAUGAAAAUCAGAUUGUUCAGAUGAAUCUGGACGUCCUGAGUAGAAUCUGUCCAGCUGACUUAUCUUAGAACCAUCAGUGAUCCUUCUUCAUUCUCUCUUUGCAGCUCACUGAACAUAAACAGCCUAGUUAGGAAUAAUCUCAUAUCUCCGAUGAUUCAUUUAACUAUUUGUCAGACUGAAGGUUCACACUACAGAACCGCAGCGUGUCAGAAAGCUGAACUAGAAUCCCUGCCUCGCCGAUGCGGCUGCUUAUACAAUUGCACUUUACUUCCAUUUCUGUCCAGACCUGUAUAACAAACAGUGUGAUGAGGACUGUAACGGAAUUUAAAUGACUUGAGAGUAUUAAAAAGAAGUCUCUUAAUUUCAUAGCGCAUUAGUGAGUGGGUACAAUAAGUCAGUGAAAACUUAGAUCAGUCUUUGGAUUUUUUAAUAAAACAUGAACAUUAUGAAUAAAAUCAUUUGUAUCAUCAAAUACGAGGUUUGGCUUAAAUUUAGUGAAUAUUUAUCUUUGUAAAGUAAACAAUUCAGCAGAAGUAGGGUUUCUGCUCUGCCUUUUCACAAAAAUAAAUAGCAAUGUAUCGACAGACUGAAAGUUAUUGCAUUGAGAUUAUAAUCCACUCUGACAGAAUUUGGAUUGUAGAUCUGAACAGAUGGAUAAAAUGCAUUGGUAAUCUUCUGAACAGUUUGGGAUGAACACACAAGACAUUAAAACCAGAAUUUUAGCAUUACAGUUUUUUUUUACAGCAGCUUGUGAUAUUUACCUUAUUUAGCUUUGUUUUUGUUUUCAAGACUGAAAUGAGUGCAUUUAGUAUAAAAGUCAAGUGUUUAUUUCGAGAUCAGCAUUCUUUAAAGAGAACCAACUUAAAGAGACAAUGUGUAGUUUUUACCGGUAAUCACUAGAAAUACGGUAAAUGGCCUGUAUCUGUAUAGUGCCAUCUUAGGGUUCUACAACCCCUCAAGGUGCUUUACAACACAAUCAGUCAUUCACCCAUUCAUACACUGGUGGUGAUGAGCUACGAUGUAGCCACAGCUGCCCUGGGGCACACUGACAGAGGCGAAGCUUGCCGAACACAGGCGCCACCGGUCCCUCCGACCACCAUCAGCGGGUUUAAUGUCUUGCCCAAGGACACAACAGCAGCAUUGCCUGGUCAGAGCCGGGAUUGAACCUGCAACCUUCAGAUUACGGACAACCCGCUUUACCUGUUGAACUACUGCUGUCCAUAAUGAAUAUCUAUCAAAAUGUUGCUGAUGUAGCGUUGUGGUUUUAUGCUCUUUUAUGAAAGAGGAACCAUGCUACGUAUUAAUUCGGAAUAUUAAUUUUUAAUAAAUCAAUAACCAAGUUUUAUAUUGUUCAGAAGACUCAAAGGUUGUUUUCAUCGAUAAACUGCCGAUAAUAUCUGAGUGUCUGUGUUUCAGUUCAAUGAGGAAACCAGUUUGAUGAUUAAAAGUUUUAAUUCUUCAAAUUAAACUAAUGAUUUUGAAAAUUGACAAACAGGAAAUAACAAUCACAUUGGCAACUUUGUGGGACAAUCUUUUAACAGUUUAUAUGCUGUUCUUGCUCAAAUAGACCUUCUGGUGAAUUUAUGAAGAUUGAGAAUGUUGUGAGUUGUGAGAGUGAUAUGAUGUGAUUAUGGAUGCGUGUGGGUGCAAAGUGUGGUGAGAUGAGGUGAGAUGGAUGCGUGUGUGCAUCUGAUUUUGCUUCAGGAAGAAACAGGUGUCUGAGUGAAAAGUGAUGGUUUGAAUAAACUUAGGUUUAGUUGGAAAAGAUGCAUC